Molecule: unclassified non-coding RNA, 378 nt
Filed under: plant metagenome
Description: partial contains 5.8S ribosomal RNA, internal transcribed spacer 2, and large subunit ribosomal RNA
Rfam family: 5.8S ribosomal RNA (bases 1-105)
Source: RNAcentral
GAAAUGCGAUAAGUAAUGUGAAUUGCAGAAUUCAGUGAAUCAUCGAAUCUUUGAACGCACCUUGCGCUCCUUGGUAUUCCUUGGAGCAUGUCUGUUUGAGUUUCAUGAAAUCUUCAAAGUAAAUCUUUUGUUAACUCAAUUGGUUUCUACUUUGGUAUUGGAGGUCUUUGCAGCUUCACACCUGCUCCUCUUUGUUCAUUAGCUGGAUCUCAGUGUUAUGCUUGGUUCCACUCGGCGUGAUAAGUUAUCUAUCGCUGAGGACACUGUAAAAGGUGGCCAAGGUAAAUGCAGAUGAACCGCUUCUAAUAGUCCAUUGACUUGGACAAUACUUUUAUGAUCUGAUCUCAAAUCAGGUAGGACUACCCGCUGAACUUAAGC